GCUCUUCCCUGUCUUUAAAUAUGAGGCUUAAAUAGACAUAAAUAUUAAAUAGAGAUAAAUACAUGGGAUGGGGAGGGCUUGGCUCAGGGCUGGGCAAGGUGGCGUAGAACGCGGUACGACACCUCCAGGAAGCUCUGCAGAUGGGAGGCAACCAGGACCCCUCCUGCCCGGCGCUGGAAAGCAGAGGCGAAGGCCGGCAUGGCACCCUGGGUGGGCUGCAGGGCAGGGGCCAUUCCCAGUUCUUCCAUCUGUGGGGGAAAGCUGUGAUCAGUGGUUGGGCCCUUCUGAGUGGGCGUUAUUACAAAUGAGGAAAUGCUGGGGGUGACAGCAUGGACAGGGCCCAUACACAGGCCUGGCUGUGGUGCCCAGAAUGCCAGCACGACCUUGGCCACCCUGCCCAACAAGGCUCACCUGCUGCCAGAUGGUGGUGGCAAAGUCGGCGACGUCCAGCUGCAGUGUGUCCAAGGUGGGACCCAACUCGGGGGAGAUCCCUUCCAGGGCCUGCAGGAGCCCCUGGUAGAGGAAAAGGCCGCUAUGGAGUUGGCUCAAGCAGCCUGCCUGUGAGACAGAGCGGAAGAGUUAGGGGGUGCUGCCUGAGAUACGUCAGGCCCCCAGCUUGGAACCUGGAGACAUGGGGGAGCCCAUGGGUGUUCCUCCUCUCCUUCCCCCUCCUCAUUAGCCUUAUCCUUUCCUGACACUCACCAGCUGCAGGGCCUGGCUGGGGCAGCUGCUCAGGGGAGCCCAGGGGAUGCCCAGAGAGUGUCCGAGCAGCACCAGCUCCUCGGGGUGGCACAGCUUGUAGGUGGCACACUGGGGAUGGAAGGAUGCUGAGUGAGACUCGCCAUGGCCGGGUCGCCGCUCCUUCCCGGGUCCUCCCCGACUCUCUGGUCUUUCCCCUCCCUCCAUGUCCUGCCAGGCUGUUCAGUUCCUCUCUGCCCUGCACCCCCACUCUCUGAUCUCACAGGGGCCCUUGCCCUUUCUCCUGAAUGUAAUGCCUCCACUCCCAUCCCAGCCAGCCCUCCCGAGCACUGUCCCCACCAAGGUCCUCCUCCCCAAGUCCCUUCCCAGCCUUCCCCAGCUCCACUGCUCCUAAUAUUCUCCCACGUCCCUUCCAGAGGAUGUUGGCCCUGCAGUUCCAUCCCCCUUAGCUCUCCCCACCGGGCUUCCCUCCACAGCCCUCUCACCCACCUCACUCACCAGCUUCUCCUGGAGCGCUGCGCCAUCGCCCUGGAUCUUCCUCACUUGCUCUAAGCACUUGAGCAGGAAGCUCUGGGGCAGGGAGCUGGCAGGGCCCAGGGGGGUGGCUUCCUGCACUGUCCAGAGUGCACUGUGCCACAGCAGCAGCUGCAGGGCUGGGGACAGAGCGGGCUCAGGAGACAUGCUGUUCCCUACCACCUGAGGCCCUCUCGGGGACACUGGGUGCCUUUAAUCCCCAUUCCCAGAACGGGGAUCCCCAGCCCCUCUGUCACACCAGCCUCCCUCCCAUGCCAGGGCAGGCGGCUCUCCCAUCCUGGGCCAAGACACUCACCCAUCAGCUUCAUGGGGCUCUGGGUGGCAGGUCCAGCCAUGGGUCUGGGUGGGGCUGGGCUGCAGGCUCCGGGCUGUUUUGGGGCCCAGCUCUAGGGGGGCCUUUAUACAUAACCCCAUGGAGGCCUGGGAGGAAAUUACCUGGGGCCACGACUAAGGCUUAGUAAUAACUUCCCAGGAUUUAUGCAAAUUUGGUGUCCAAGACAAUGCAGGGGGGUUGGAACAAAAAGCUGUUUGCGAAAGUUUUGUGAAAUUGUGGAAUCUCUGAUCCUCCUUUGACGUCGCCUUGCCCCCCUCAAACUCCCUUCCUCCCG
RNAcentral lists this long non-coding RNA (1841 nucleotides) under Homo sapiens (human). RNAcentral describes it as "non-protein coding lnc-MED24-6:1". Lineage: Eukaryota; Metazoa; Chordata; Mammalia; Primates; Hominidae. The record is from RNAcentral.